GGGGAUUUAGCUCAGUGGUAGAGCGCUUGCCUAGUAAGUGCAAGGCCCUGGGUUCAGUCCUCA
Non-coding RNA from Rattus norvegicus (Norway rat), 63 nucleotides. NCBI's taxonomy places the organism in Eukaryota, Metazoa, Chordata, Mammalia, Rodentia, Muridae. The record is from Rfam.